This 206-nucleotide ribosomal RNA is filed under the name uncultured bacterium. Its description in RNAcentral is "partial 16S ribosomal RNA". It matches the Rfam family "Bacterial small subunit ribosomal RNA", at positions 568 to 774 of the family's 1533-position model. The record is from RNAcentral.
CUCGUAGGCGGUUUGUCACGUCUGCUGUGAAAUCCCGAGGCUCAACCUCGGGCCUGCAGUGGGUACGGGCAGACUGGAGUGCGGUAGGGGGGAAUGGAAUUCCUGGUGUAGCGGUGGAAUGCGCAGAUAUCAGGAGGAACACCGAUGGCGAAGGCAGUUCUCUGGGCCGUAACUGACGCUGAGGAGCGAAAGCGUGGGAGCGAACA